GCUUGGGUCUGGUCGGUCGUCGGCUCAGUAAUGAAUGUAUUUGUUGUAUGAAUCUGAUGGGUUCAUUUUCUCAACGCGUGGACAAUUUUUGUGGAUCGGAGUGUAUACGAGCUAGCAUAGCCUAAAGAACGAAGAAGCCUGUUGUAGAGCAGUCGACUAGAAGUAUCAGACUGUUGAGAAGAGGGCUUGGAGUGUAUACAAGCGAGCUAGCCCAAAGAACGAGGAAGUUCAUUAUAGAGUAGUCGAUUAGAAGUAUCAGACUGUUGAGAAGAGGCCUCGAGUGUAUACAAGCGACCAUAGCCCGAAGAACGAAGAAGCCUGUUGUAGAGUAGUCGACUAGAAGUAUCAGACUGUUGAGAAGAGGGCUUGGAGUGUAUACAAGCGAGCUAGCCCAAAGAACGAGGAAGUUCGUUAUAGAGUAGUCGAUUAGAAGUAUCAGACUGUUGAGAAGAGGGCUCGAGUGUAUACAAGCGAGCAUAGCCCAAAGAACGAAGAAGCCUGUUGUAGAGUAGUCGACUAGAAGUAUCAGAUUGUUGAGAAGAGGGCUCGGAGUGUAUACAAGCGAGCUAGCCCAAAGAACGAGGAAGUCCGUUAUAGAGUAGUCGACUAGAAGUAUCGAACUGUUGAGAAGAGGGCUCAGAGUGUAUACAAGCGAGCAAUGAGGAAGCCCGUUAUAGAGCAGUCGACUAGAAGUAUCAGACUGUUGAGAAGAGGGCUCGGAGUGUAUACAAGCGAGCAUAGCCCAAAGAACGAAGAAGCCUGUUAUAGAGCAGUCGACUAGAAGUAUCAGACUAUUGAGAAGAGGGCUCGAAGUGUAUACAAGCGAGCAACAAGGAAGCCCGUUAUAGAGCGGUCAACUAGAAGUAUCAGACUAUUGAAAAGACGGCCUCUCUCGAAAAUGAUGACCUAAUUUCUCUUA
Non-coding RNA from Cucurbita pepo subsp. pepo (vegetable marrow), 919 nucleotides. Lineage: Eukaryota; Viridiplantae; Streptophyta; Magnoliopsida; Cucurbitales; Cucurbitaceae. The record is from RefSeq and is a predicted model, not a curated record.